UAGGGAAUCUUCCACAAUGGACGCAAGUCUGAUGGAGCAACGCCGCGUGAGUGAAGAAGGUUUUCGGAUCGUAAAGCUCUGUUGUUGGUGAAGAAGGAUAGAGGCAGUAACUGGUCUUUAUUUGACGGUAAUCAACCAGAAAGUCACGGCUAACUACGUGCCAGCAGCCGCGGUAAUACGUAGGUGGCAAGCGUUGUCCGGAUUUAUUGGGCGUAAAGCGAGCGCAGGCGGAAUGAUAAGUCUGAUGUGAAAGCCCACGGCUCAACCGUGGAACUGCAUCGGAAACUGUCAUUCUUGAGUGCAGAAGAGGAGAGUGGAAUUCCAUGUGUAGCGGUGGAAUGCGUAUAUAUAUGGAAGAACACCAGUGGCGAAGGCGGCUCUCUGGUCUGCAACUGACGCUGAGGCUCGAAAGCAUGGGUAGCGAACAGG
This 429-nucleotide ribosomal RNA is filed under the name bacterium. RNAcentral's name for it is "partial 16S ribosomal RNA". It matches the Rfam family "Bacterial small subunit ribosomal RNA", at positions 355 to 776 of the family's 1533-position model. The record is from RNAcentral.